This 296-nucleotide long non-coding RNA is filed under the name Manihot esculenta (cassava). RNAcentral describes it as "long non-coding RNA (MESC_LNC012457)". The record is from RNAcentral. Lineage: Eukaryota; Viridiplantae; Streptophyta; Magnoliopsida; Malpighiales; Euphorbiaceae.
AGAUCGAGGGUUGGUGUGACCCGAACCUUGGAGAUGUGGAGGAAACUAGCUCCGGGGUCUCCAAGCUCCAAAUCCUUGAUCCAAGCUUAAAACUCUUCAAAACCAAGAAUAAAACUCAUGAAAACCAUAGAAGAUUGAAGGAAAACGUGAAAUCGACCAAGGGAGGACAUGAACUCACCUGGGCACGAGAAUGGGGAGAAAACUCGCCCAUUUUCGGUCUGAGGCCUUUUAUAGGCGACCGGCUGAGCCUCAUUCGGCGGCCAAACCAGCACCCUAAAGUCCCCCAUGUUCGGCGG